UACGGGGGAUGCAAGCGUUAUCCGAAAUCAUUGGGCGUAAAGCGCCUGUAGGUUGUUUAUUAAGUCCGUUGUUAAAGCCUAGGGCUUAACCCCAGAAAAGCAAUGGAAACUAAUAGACUAGAGUAUGGUAGGGGUAGAGGGAAUUUCUAGUGUAGCGGUGAAAUGCGUAGAUAUUAGAAAGAACACCAGUGGCGAAAGCGCUCUACUGGACCAUUACUGACACUCAGAGGCGAAAGCUAGGGUAGCAAAAGGGAUUAGAUACCCCUGUAGUCCUAGCCGUAAACGAUGGAUACUAGAUGUUGUGCUUAUAGUACAGUAUCGUAGCUAACGCGUUAAGUAUCCCGCCUGGGGAGUACGCUCGCAAGGGUG
Molecule: ribosomal RNA, 369 nt
Filed under: uncultured phototrophic eukaryote
Lineage: Eukaryota
Description: SSU rRNA
Rfam family: Bacterial small subunit ribosomal RNA
Source: RNAcentral